CGUGAACUGCGUGUAGCUCAGCCCGUGCCCGAACGCGUGGAUCGUCGGCCCCGUGUAGAACCGGUACGUCCGCCCCGGGUACCCGCGCGCCGGGUUCGCCCGCAUCGCCAUGUUCGUCAUCGGCACCUUCUCCAGGUAGUCUUGAGGGUACCAUGUCACCGGCAGCUUCCCGCCUGUUCAUACAAGUUUUCACGAAUUCAGUCAGACUCUGUUUGCAUCUUGUGCAAACAAUCAAAAAGUGAACUUUGUGAAUGUUGAAUCCAAAAUUUGAACCUGGGUUAUGUUGUCCAAAGAUGACGUCGGCGAUGGCCUGGCCGCCGGCCUGGCCAGGGUAUCCCACCCAGAGGAUGCCGUCGAUCCUGGGGUCGUUCUGCGCGAACGCGAUGUCGAUGGGUCCGCCGGACAUGAGGACGAGGAUGACGGG
RNAcentral lists this long non-coding RNA (424 nucleotides) under Sorghum bicolor (sorghum). Its description in RNAcentral is "long non-coding RNA (SBIC_LNC009699)". Lineage: Eukaryota; Viridiplantae; Streptophyta; Magnoliopsida; Poales; Poaceae. The record is from RNAcentral.